AACACCUCAAAUCUCUUUUUUAUUAAAGAGAAUUGGACUUGAGCAAUCCCAACUCUUUGCAAAAAGGGGCGGGUUGCUUGAAAUGCAGGUGCAGCUGGACAUUCUUCUGAGCUAAAAGCAUAUUUAUUUAGUCCCGUCAAACGGAUUAUUACUUUUGCUCUAGCUAAUAUAAAGGUCGAAUGUGCUAUAUGCUGACUGAUGCAGGAUUACCAAGUUUUACUAGCUAAAACUUGUAA
RNAcentral lists this unclassified non-coding RNA (236 nucleotides) under uncultured Mortierella. RNAcentral's name for it is "partial internal transcribed spacer 2". Lineage: Eukaryota; Fungi; Mortierellomycota; Mortierellomycetes; Mortierellales; Mortierellaceae. The record is from RNAcentral.